RNAcentral lists this transfer RNA (16 nucleotides) under Martes americana caurina. Its description in RNAcentral is "partial tRNA-Leu". The record is from RNAcentral. Lineage: Eukaryota; Metazoa; Chordata; Mammalia; Carnivora; Mustelidae.
ACUUUUAAAGGAUAGU